Molecule: ribosomal RNA, 400 nt
Filed under: uncultured bacterium
Lineage: Bacteria
Description: bacterial SSU rRNA
Rfam family: Bacterial small subunit ribosomal RNA
Source: RNAcentral
UGGGGAAUAUUGCACAAUGGGGGAAACCCUGAUGCAGCAACGCCGCGUGAAGGAAGAAGGUUCUCGGAUCGUAAACUUCUAUCGAUAGGGAAGAAAGAAAUGACGGUACCUAAAUAAGAAGCCCCGGCUAACUACGUGCCAGCAGCCGCGGUAAUACGUAGGGGGCAAGCGUUAUCCGGAAUUACUGGGUGUAAAGGGUGAGUAGGCGGCACUGCAAGUCAUAUGUGAAAACUUUUGGCUCAACCAAAAGAUUGCAUAAGAAACUGUGGGGCUAGAGUGCAGGAGAGGUAAGCGGAAUUCCUAGUGUAGCGGUGAAAUGCGUAGAUAUUAGGAAGAACACCAGUGGCGAAGGCGGCUUACUGGACUGUAACUGACGCUGAGUCACGAAAGCGUGGGGAGC